This 771-nucleotide ribosomal RNA is filed under the name uncultured Caldilinea sp. RNAcentral's name for it is "bacterial SSU rRNA". It matches the Rfam family "Bacterial small subunit ribosomal RNA", at positions 52 to 840 of the family's 1533-position model. Lineage: Bacteria; Bacillati; Chloroflexota; Caldilineae; Caldilineales; Caldilineaceae. The record is from RNAcentral.
CACAUGCAAGUCGAACGUGAGAGAGUAGCAAUAUUCUUGAAAGUGGCGCACGGGUGAGUAAUACGUAGGUGACCUGCCUUGAAGUGGGGGAUAACAGUUGGAAACGACUGCUAAUACCGCAUAUUGCCGGGCUGUCGGGAGACGGACUGGUGAAAACUCUGGUGCUUCAAGAGGGGCCUACGGCCGAUUAGCUAGUUGGCGGGGUAAGAGCCCACCAAGGCGACGAUCGGUAGCUGGUCUGAGAGGACGAUCAGCCACACGGGAACUGAGACACGGUCCCGACUCCUACGGGGGGCAGCAGUGAGGAAUAUUGGGCAAUGGGCGCAAGCCUGACCCAGCAACGCCGCGUGGAGGAAGACGGCCUUCGGGUUGUAAACUCCUUUUACGGGGGAAGAGGAAGGACGGUACCCCGAGAAUAAGUCACGGCUAACUACGUGCCAGCAGCCGCGGUAAUACGUAGGUGACAAGCGUUAUCCGGAAUUACUGGGCGUAAAGCGCACGCAGGCGGCGCAUUAAGUCUGACGUGAAAUCUCCUGGCUUAACUGGGAGGGGUCGUUGGAGACUGAUGUGCUUGAGGCGAUGAGAGGGGUGUAGAAUUCCCGGUGUAGUGGUGGAAUGCGUAGAUAUCGGGAGGAAUACCAGUGGCGAAAGCGACACCCUGGCAUUAGCCUGACGCUCAUGUGCGAAGGCGUGGGGAGCGAACGGGAUUAGAUACCCCGGUAGUCCACGCGGUAAACGAUGAAUACUAGGUGUGGGUGGAGUGAAAUCCAU